UAAACGCUGCCACCGGGUAGCAGAUGCACAAAGCAUCCAUUUACAUAUCGUUAGGUCUUAGAAGAUGUGUAUGCGGAUGCUAAUUUUUU
This 89-nucleotide non-coding RNA is filed under the name unclassified sequences. The record is from RNAcentral.